AUUGAACGCUGGCGGCAUGCCUUACACACGCAAGUCGAACGGCAGCAUGAUCUAGCUUGCUAGAUUGAUGGCGAGUGGCGAACGGGUGAGUAAUACAUCGGAACGUGCCCUGUAGUGGGGGAUAACUAGUCGAAAGAUUAGCUAAUACCGCAUACGACCUGAGGGUGAAAGUGGGGGACCGCAAGGCCUCAUGCUAUAGGAGCGGCCGAUGUCUGAUUAGCUAGUUGGUGAGGUAAAGGCUCACCAAGGCGACGAUCAGUAGCUGGUCUGAGAGGACGAUCAGCCACACUGGGACUGAGACACGGCCCAGACUCCUACGGGAGGCAGCAGUGGGGAAUUUUGGACAAAGGGCGAAAGCCUGAUCCAGCAAUGCCGCGUGUGUGAAGAAGGCCUUCGGGUUGUAAAGCACUUUUGUCCGGAAAGAAAUGGCUCUGGUUAAUACCUGGGGUCGAUGACGGUACCGGAAGAAUAAGGACCGGCUAACUACGUG
This 490-nucleotide ribosomal RNA is filed under the name uncultured bacterium. Its description in RNAcentral is "partial 16S ribosomal RNA". It matches the Rfam family "Bacterial small subunit ribosomal RNA", at positions 30 to 507 of the family's 1533-position model. The record is from RNAcentral.